Molecule: RNA transcript, 1554 nt
Organism: Amaranthus tricolor (Joseph's coat)
Lineage: Eukaryota; Viridiplantae; Streptophyta; Magnoliopsida; Caryophyllales; Amaranthaceae
Gene name: meiotic nuclear division protein 1 homolog
Exons: 13
Source: RefSeq, a predicted model, not a curated record
UUUAGGGGGAUGAGCGCGCUUUUUGAAAUUUGAUUAGGCGCUCUGCCUGCUGCUGUUCACGAAUUAUCCUGCUCUACACAAUUUGACAAGAACACCCAUAGCCAGGUAACUACACUCUCGUCCUCUGGCUCUGGUCUCUCCACCGCGAAGGCGCGAACCUUUCUCCUCCAUUGUGUCUUCCUUUCCUCAAGGUGACCGUUUAUCCUCAAAUCUCAAACUCCUGCUGUGCAAACAUGUCAAAGAAGAGAGGGCUUUCACUUGAAGAGAAACGUGAGAAGAUGCUUCAGAUUUUUUAUGACUCGCAAGAUUUCUUCCUCCUCAAGGAGCUUGAGAAGAUGGGGCCAAAGAAAGGUGUCAUCAGUCAGUCGGUGAAGGAUGUUGUUCAAAGUCUCGUUGAUGACGACCUUGUAUUAAAGGAUAAGAUUGGAAGUUCUAUAUACUUCUGGAGCCUUCCUAGCACAGCUGGAAAUCAGCUAAGGAAUGUCUCUCGCAAACUAGAAUCUGAUCUUCAUGCCAGCAAAAAACGUUAUGCCGAACUUGUGGAACAGUUUGAUUCUUUGAAGAAGGGACGUGAAGAAUCUGAUGAAAGAGCGGAGGCUUUAAGCGAGUUAAAUGCUGUUGAACUGAAGCACAAAGAACUGAAGGAGGAACUGGCACAAUAUGCAGAUAAUGAUCCUGCUGCUCUCGAGACUAUGAAAAAAGCUAUAGAAGUUUCGUAUUCAGCUGCCAACAGAUGGACAGAUAACAUAUUCACUUUGCAGCAGUGGUGUACAAAAAAUUUCCCACAAGCUAGAGAACAGCUUGAACAGAUGUACCAGGAGGCUGGAAUAACAGAUGAUUUUGAUUAUGUGGAGUUGCCAAAUCUUGCUUCACUUGGGAACCCAGACAACUAGUUACAAGGUAUUGUUUGACUCUGUUGCUUGCUCAAAAGCCUUGGACUCGAAAGAUAUUUGGAUUUUAUAUCUGUUUCUGUUCGUGGAUGGGAGAUUUUUUCUAGGACGAGGGGGUUGAUGGUGAUUGCAGGCUAUAGAGACUUCUUGUGCUGAAUUGCAGAACACGAUAGAAUGUAGCAAGUAUAUGCUGGCGUUGGAGAUUGACAGUUUUCUGUAAAUUCUUACCUGUCCCCUUUAUCUUUUACAAACAUUGUUUAGCUUGUGGAUCAUUGUUGUUCCUUUAGCAAACAAAUUGACAAUGGUGACAAUUUUUAUUUCUACUUGUGAUAAUCUCAUGAAAGUUCAUGAGAUAUGGGGUUGAAUAGUAUUUUAUGAAGUUCUUGUAAAUUGGCAAUAUUGACUGUGUAAAUUGACCUUUCUGUUGGGGAAGUUAGAUGUUCUUCCCAAUUACUGUAAUCAAUAUACAACCACUAAUGUUGAUAGUGGUUAUACACUUAGAACUGUAAACAUGGUCAUCGGUUUUUCUUGUUACAUUUAAAAGUUGCAUGCUAGAAUGAGGUACAAUGGUCAAGAUUAUUAGUGGUUUUAGGCUGAAGUGUUAAUAUUAUCAGCAAUUCUAACUUUGUUAUUUUUUAAAGUACCCAUUAUUUAUAGACAGUAU